UCGAACGAUGAAACUUAGCUGAUUUCUUCGGAAUGAAAAUAAGUGGAUUAGUGGCGAACGGGUGAGUAACACGUGAGUAACCUGCCUUACACAAGGGGAUAGCCUUUGGAAACGAAGAAUAAUACCCUAUAAAGUUAGUCAAUCGCAUGGUAGACUAACCAAAGAUUUAUCGGUGUAAGAUGGACUUGCGUCUGAUUAGCUAGUUGGUGAGAUAAAAGCCCACCAAGGCGACGAUCAGUAGCCGGCUUGAGAGAGUGUACGGCCACAUUGGGACUGAGACACGGCCCAAACUCCUACGGGAGGCAGCAGUGGGGAAUUUUGCACAAUGGGGGAAACCCUGAUGCAGCGACGCCGCGUGAUUUAGAAGGCCUUCGGGUUGUAAAAAUCUUUUUUAUGGGAUGAAAAUGACAGUACCAUAAGAAUAAGGUCCGGCUAAAUACGUGCCAGCAGCCGCGGUAAUACGUAUGGACCGAGCGUUGUCCGGAAUCAUUGGGCGUAAAGGGUACGUAGGCGGCCUAGUAAGUUAGAAGUGAAAUAAUAUAGCUCAACUAUAUAAAGCUUUUAAAACUGUUAGGCUUGAGAGAUGAAAGGGAAAGUGGAAUUCCUAGU
Molecule: ribosomal RNA, 609 nt
Filed under: uncultured Clostridium sp.
Lineage: Bacteria; Bacillati; Bacillota; Clostridia; Eubacteriales; Clostridiaceae
Description: bacterial SSU rRNA
Rfam family: Bacterial small subunit ribosomal RNA
Source: RNAcentral